RNAcentral lists this small nuclear RNA (97 nucleotides) under Physeter macrocephalus (sperm whale). The record is from RNAcentral. Lineage: Eukaryota; Metazoa; Chordata; Mammalia; Artiodactyla; Physeteridae.
GUGCUUGCUUCAGCAGCACACAUACUAAAAUAGGAGAAGAUUAGCAUGGCCCCUGCACAAGGAUGACACGCAAAUUUGUGAAGUGUUCCAUAUUAAA